Molecule: long non-coding RNA, 7265 nt
Organism: Vitis vinifera (wine grape)
Lineage: Eukaryota; Viridiplantae; Streptophyta; Magnoliopsida; Vitales; Vitaceae
Exons: 2
Source: RefSeq, a predicted model, not a curated record
GGCUAAUGAUUUAUAUUCGUUUUCUAUAAGGAACUGUCCCUGGAUCUAUUUCCAUUUUUCAUUUUCCCUUUUAUUUUUUCUUUUUCUUUUCUUAUAUAUAGAUUUUUAAAUCAUUGCUCCAUAUGAAAGCCAAAUGAUUCUCAGUUCUUUUCUUGAAACUAUUUAUCAAAUUUAUUGGGUUGUUACUUCUUGUUAAUGGUUUGUUUUAUAAUUUUAAAAGACAUAAGCAGCUUUGAAGAACACUGCACAAAAUUUAUUUGGGUCUGAGCAGGAUUUUGGACCAUAAACCCCUUCAACAAACCUUCAGAUUUUUGAGAUUCACAGUGAUUGGUAUAUGUUGAUGAAGAUUUAGGCAUAGCAGGAACCUGAGGUAUGUUUUCUGGAUUUCUUCUGUGAGUGGUUUUUACUCAGCUUUGGUGUUGUUCUGUGCUGGAUCUGUUCUGAUGAACUACGGUGGAUACUCUGCCAUUUUUUUUUGUUCUUUUUGUAAUGGGGUAUUGUUGGUCAUAUGGGUGUUGUAUUCUUCUCCAUUCAAGAAACUAGACACAGGGCUACACCCAAUUAAAGAAAAGUUAAAUUAAUAUAGGCAUUCUGGAGCAUGGGUGAAAGAUGUUUUUCUUCCCUUAGUUCAGAAAAAUGUAAACUUCUGUAGCUUCUAUAGGAGCUCCCUUUCUAGCCGAAUACUGCAAUUUGGUGGAAUUCCUCUGUAGAACCUAAAUCCUAGAAGGCUGGGUUAUCUGUGCUGUGCUAGGCCAAUGAAGGCAUCUAGUUGUUUCAAUUGAAUGGCAGUCAUAAUUUUGAUUUAAAAUCUAUAAAACGUGGUCUCUAAUUUCCUUGUAUCUAUUGGCACAAGUUAUUUGUUGAUCAAGAACAUUCAUUGGGGAAAAAAAAUUAGCAUGUUAUCCAAUAGAUGGGAGAUAUAGCUUCUUGUACUGGAUGGAGCUAGUCUCAAACCUGCAGAUUGUUCCCAAGAAAAGGUUCGGAUUCUUCUGAAAGUUUGAUAUUAAUAGUGUUUACUAUAAUAAUAUUGUUAUAUUACAAAGAGAGAUGAAGACUAAUGACCAAUGUCUAAUUCAAUAGAAGAUAUGGAAGAAAACCAAAUGAUUACUCUUCCUGUUAUGCAUAGGUAUCUCGUAGAGUUCAAUAACACAAUUAAUUUGUCCAAUCCCUUCCAUAUUAGGCUUUUACAUCUCUUUUCAAAAGAAUGAUUGGUUCUUCCUUCACUACCUCUUCCUUUUUUCUCGAUAAGCAAAGAAAAAUAUAUUAGAAGCACCUAAAAAAAGGCUCACAAAAAAAUACACGAUGUAUACAAAGACACCAAAAGGCCAACCAAAGCUGAGGGAUAAACAAAAAAUUUCCUUGACUCACUUAGAGCUCAACCAAUCAAUGAACUCUAGCAUGAACAAAGAGCUAUCACCUAUGUACACUCUAGCCCAUCCCUAAAAAGCAUACAUGAAGCGCUGAUUGGUAGCUUGGUCCCCUUUUCCAAUAUUUUCAAAAUUCUCUUGUUUCUUUCUUUGCAGAUGGUCCAAAUAAACACAAAGAAGCAGCUUUCCGGGAUUUUUUCUUCUUCUUGACAAAGUAUCUAUGCCACCCCAAAUAGAGCCAAAAUGGGCUAUCACAACAUAAUUGCUUUUGUGUGGGGAAGGAGGAUAUGAUCAAUGGUUUCUUCAUCUCCUUUGCACAAAAAACAUCUGUUCUGGAUUUAUCACCCCCUCCUUUUAAGCUAGUCUAAUGUUAACAUUCUCCCCCAUGUGGCUUCCCAUGCAAAAAGGCCUGCCCUCACCAGGACCCAAGAAAUCCAAGUCAUUGAAUGGACGAGUAAGAGAUUUUACUAAGAAAUUGCCACAUCUUGAUUUUAGUUGAACCAUCUAAUCCUUUAUGUCUAUGCAAAUCGAUUGUUCUUGUAAUCUCUUGAAAAAAGCCUCCAUCUCAUCUAUUUCCCGUCAUGGAUUUGUCUUGUGAAUCUAGGUUUCUGGCCCCCCCUCAUUCUACUCCCACAUCUCGGCUAUCCUAUCCAAGCAUCUUCUCUUGUUCUUCCUAGAACAGAAUACUAAUAAAAGAACCACUGAACUUGAUCUCAAAUUUUUAUGCAGAAUUUAGAAUCUUUUACUUUGAAUUGCUGAUUCUAGAAUCUAGAUAUGACAUCAUCUUAAAAAAAGGAAAAAAAAAGUUCUUAAAAGUGCAUCAUAGUUAAUAAAGUCUUCAAAUGUGGCUUUCUAGUUAGUUUUUCUAGUUGGAGAAAUGUAUGUUAGCUCAUGUAGAAUUAAAGAGAUGGUGGAAUAGUAAACUCUUUAGUUAAUGUGCUAAUACAUUCUAAAAACUAGAUAUAAUUUAGUGGUAUGUGAUUCAUUUUUCCUAGGCAUAUUCUCAGAAUGCCAUGGCCUUAAUCUUCCAACCUUGUAGCCACAUGGAAAAGGAUGAUCAAUGGCAUAUCAAACUUUACUCCAUAUGAAAUGAUACAUUUUGGGGGUGUGAUGGUACCAGCUCAUAGUGUAUAAGUGAAGGCUCCAAAGCCUGAUUCCAAGAUUUAAAACUCUUAUAUGACACUCUCAAGCUGUGCGGGGUCCAGUUGGGUGGUUUCUAGUCAUUUAGAUGUGUUUAAGUUUUCUUGUAAAUGGUUUACAUGUUUAAAGUAGAACGAAAGCCAAGCUAUUACGGGGAUUAACAUGGUAUUACUAUUCAAACGAUUGUACUAAAAUUGGAGUGAGAUAAGAAAGAUUUUACAUCCUUUUUACUUGGUCUAAAUUAAGGGCUGAGAAUCUCAAUAUCCUUUUAGUUUAAGGGAAAGGAUUAAUUAUUUUUAUGGAGUAUAAGUCUACAACAGUGUUAGACCUAUCUCUUUUCAAGGAUAAUGAUAGAUUAAUGAGAAUUCGGAGCUUUGAAACUCUUGUAGUGGGUAUGAUUACUUAGGAAACAUUCAAUAUGAAUGCCUAGGUUUUCUCCUCCUGCUUUUUCUUCUUUUCCUUCAUUUAAUUCCUUUGAGAAUAAUGACUGGUUUGCUGUUUGGUACUUAAACCACAUAUAAGCCCUUGAUCAACUGGAAUUAACUGUUAAAUUUAAUCACAGAUUUUUAUUCUGACCAUUUCUAGUCACUCUCAAACCUUUCUAAGCAAUCCCUAAUUAAUUUUCUUUUCUCAAGUUAGUGCCAGUGUUGGUUUGUUGUGUUUAGGGGGAACUAGUUUAGUAUUCUCUGGCUGCCACUCAAAUUAAAAAUGAGGCUUGCUUUGUGCUAAUUAAUGCUUCAUGUGUAAUCAGACUUGUAAAAAUUGCAUAUGAACUCCUGCUAUUGGUUUGGUCUAUCUUAGUUUGCUUUGAUUAUUUUGUGCAACCUAUGAAUGGGAACCUGGAGUUGAGAUGCAUGAUUCAAAGAUUGAAGUCCUCAUUAUCUUGGCCCUAAUUUUCCUAACAUUUUACCAAAUCUUGUCAAUGAUUUAUGGAUAAAUGGAAAUAUAUUUCUAUUUACUUCCUUGUUCAGGUUGCUGGUAAUCCUCAUAGUAUCUUCUCACUUUGAGUUAACUGGAAGCACAAGCCUUCUAAUGCAUGCCAAAAGUCUCACUGUAAAUUGUCAUAAUAAUAUGAGUGGGUAGUAUGAUCAAUUGCUUCCCCUUUUUCCUUUUAUCAUAUCUUGCUAAAUACUUCUUUCUUGACUCUAUAAUAUGUUCUUGAAGUCAUUCUUCUUCAAUGCACCAAUGGAGAUGAUUUUUCAACUUUCAAACCUCAUAACUUCCCCGAAACUUUAUCCCUAUGUAGAUUGUUAUACUAAUGAGUAUGAGAUCAAUACAUGAGUCUGAGUAAACACCAGAGUGUGAGAAAAUAGGUUUCUAUUGCCUUUCCAGAAUGCUUUACUCAUUGGUUUAAGAAGGAUUUACUUGUAAGUGAAUUUAAAAAGGAUUGGAGGGAGGAUAGUUUGGUGGCAUUAAGACAAGUAACCUGUGAAACUAUUUUGGCGGUUUGAGUUGCCUUGUAAAUAGAUCAAACAGGAUCAAUAGCAAAUCUCAAUCAAUAUGGCAGACACAUUUUUCUUCGAUUCCUUCAUUUGGCCUUGUGGUUGAAAAAGGGAUAACAAUAACUUAAGGGCAUGUUUGAAUAUCUUUGUGCAGUUGUCUGUUUAAAUAUGAAGUAUGGUGCGCAUUCAUUUUAUUUAGUUUCAUCAUGUCAUGUGAACAGGAAGUUAUUGAAUGAUUAUGAAUUGUGGCUUGAGAAGAUUUGAAAUUUCUUCAUUUGGAUGAGGUGAAACUUCUGUUACUUUGGGUUAGGAGACAACCUAGCAGGGGUAGGCUGAGGAUGGAGACUGAAUAACUUCCUGAAGUUUCUUUUCAAUCCUCUUCAUAGGAAACUUGUAAAUGAGACGAAGAGAUGUUUAUUAAGCAUUUUGAAGACAUUGCAGUCAUUCUUUACAAUCCUAAAACUUUUUAACCAUAGGUUGUGGGUGGAGUUUCUUUUGGUUCGGGAACAGGGAUAAAUGUGAAGUGGCUAGAACCACAUGGUCAAGUCAGAGGAAAUCUGGCCAAAGAUGCUGAACACAUAUUGGGAUACCUGAUUAGGAACUUCUUGAUGUUUUUUUUUCGGUGUCUUGAGUAGAUAAAACAAUAAAAUAUUAUUUCUAUUGUUAAUGAAAGAUACCAGGUGCUGAUGAUUAACCUACUCACAUCUUUUCCAUCCCUGUCUUGCAUCAUGAUGAAAUUAGAAUGCUGCCUAGAUGAGCCCUAGUUUUUUGUUUUAUCCGAAGCUGAAUGCAACAUCUUAAGCUUGCCGUUAGUCUCAAGAAAUGAAUAUUGUAAACCUUUAUACUUCCCUAUAUGUCUAAACUUGGCAUAUACCAUCAGUCUCGAUCUCCAUCUUAAUCAAUCUAGUUUUGCCUGUUUUCCUGAAAAGUUUGGUGUCACAUUUGUUUGUUGUUUUGGGAGGUUCUGGUUCACCUUUAUGCGAGGUCCUUUGUAGGUGUCUAAUUGUAGCAUGAUCUGCCCUUUUCCUUGAAAUUGAAAUUCCAAAGCUAUGUCCCAGAUCAUUACCUUGAAAUUUUCACUGGAUUUUGUUUACAAGAUUCAUAUGCUUUUGUGUGCUUCAGCAAACUAACACUUUUGAAAGUGUACAGAUGAACAUGGAUAAAUGGUAGUCAGGUAAUUACACUGAGGCACUGGGCUUCUUGCUUCAUUAUCUUUCAAUUUAUUUAUUUUUCUUUUUUUGGGUCAAAUAUUCUUUCAAUAUCCAUCUGCCCUUUUUCUCACCGCUUUCCCAAAGUCCUUCAAAAUACAAACUACCUUUUUAUUCAGUGUUUUCCUUGAAACUUCCUCAAGGAAAGUGAUGUGAUAAAAUGGCCCACGGGAUUCUUUUGUUCCUGAGAGAAGACGUGUUCUUUAGCAGUGAGUUGGCCACCUUUCGAUGCCUUAAAAACAUUUCAAGGUCACAUCUUUGAUCUUGACUUGCCUUCUAAAAGGAGUAGAAACACCACAUCACAUAUUUGGCCUUGCAUGUUCUGACUAUUUAUACUUCCCAAAUUUUAGAAUUGUUGUCGGGGAGGUCCUCUUGCUGCUCACCAAUGUCAACCCCACAUUGAUCUCCUACUGAGAUUUAUAAUCAGGCAAAAGAAUGACACCCAUCCCAACCAUAAUUUAUAUAAUAUACAAUGCCUUCUGAUUAAAAGAGUUAAUAAAAUGACUUUAAAUAACACCCAAAAUUGAGAUACCAUUCUGUCUCAGUAGUUCUUGAGUUUUAUCAAGAAGUGGAAGACAGAAUCUUAAUCUUGAGGUUAUUCUCACCAAGUAAAGAUGUUCAAAUGUCUCUUUUUAUCCUCCUCUACAUGUAUUACUUUAAAAAUUUUGGAAUCAUCUGAAUUACAUGUCUCCAUUUCUCUCACUUUUCGUCAGCUUUCCUAGAAAAGUCUGAUUAGGGUCCCAGUUGUCUUUGUUGGUUAAUCCUUUGCUGAGACCACCUUGUUUUGGGAACUUCUGUUUCAUUCCUGGAUCAGGUGCUUUCUCAUUAGGCAUUGCUUCUUGUUGUAAGAUAUUGUCCAUCUUGGCUGACACUUGAUUUCAAAUUCACUAUAUUUUGUCACUGAAGAUUUUGGCUUUCUGUGUGCUUUCAGUACUGAAACUCUAGAAAAAGAAUGGAAUUGACAGCACUGAUGUUUGUUUCAGAAAUAGUAGUUAAUUUUCUUAAGUAAUAGCAAAUUGUCAUUAUCUUUGAGCCUUGUCUGUGAAGCUUCCUAAAAUAAAGUGAAGUUAUUAACAUGGCCCACAAGCUUUUCUUGCAACUGGGGGGAAAUGAGUUGUCCAUGUUUGGUGCUUGAAUCAUUUGGGAUCACAUGGUUGAUCUCCACUUAACCUCUAAAGAAAUGAGUAUUUUUAAUUCUUUUCCAUUUUCUUUUUUCUGUUUUGCCAUGAUAACUGAUCAUUUACAUGUUUCAAGUUACAGACACUUGAGGGGGUGGGGUUGUCAUGCCUGUGGGGCUUGCUGUGCAUAUACACAGCAGUACAACCCGGCAGAAGUUUUUUCACUCACUUGGUUAUUUAUUUCUGUAUAGGUAGCUAAAUACUUGGUUGGUUGUGUUGACUUUGUACCCAUGAUCUCUCUAAAUGUUAUAGCAAAUAAUUUUGUGGGGGUUCAAUUCUUGAGAUAUGAAUGCAAGCAAUUCUGAAUUUGUUACACUCUAAAAGUUUCAUUUUUAAUCUGAGUCUUUGGAUUUAGUCAUCAUCGACUGUGUCAUUUUUUCUGAAAGAUGCGUGUUAAGAGGCAUGGCGGAAAUUUGGGGGCUGAAGCCUGGAGAGUCCAACUGGGAAGGCAGUACCAGGUACACAUCAAACAGCCAUGUUUUGUAAAUAUUACAUGUUUACAUAAUUUCCCUAUGUUUUUUGGCUACAUUUUGCUCUUCAUGGAGUGUCGUUGAGAUUAAUGUUUUAGUUCAUGGUUGACAACUCUUCCAAAGGAAAUUGCAAACUGCCUGUUGCCCUUUUUGCCUUUAUUGUAGACGCCAGUUCUGAACAAAAACCACAAAAAAAUGUGAAGCAUAGAUGAACUGGGUGGGUGCUCUUGUUUUUCGAAGUCCUCAGCCUUCAACACUUGUUGGUCCUUUUGCCUUUAUUGUAGGCGCCAGUUCAUACCAAAAACCACAAAAAAAAAUUGUGAAGCAUUGAUGAACUGGGUGGGCGCUCUUGUUUUUCGAAGUCCUCAGCCUUUUUAACACCUGUGAACCUGUUUUUGAAACAUUUUUAUCAAGUAAAUAUAGUAUGAGAACUGUGAAGAAGCUUACAAUUGCGGCUCAA